RNAcentral lists this long non-coding RNA (338 nucleotides) under Malus domestica (apple). RNAcentral's name for it is "long non-coding RNA (MDOM_LNC009682)". Lineage: Eukaryota; Viridiplantae; Streptophyta; Magnoliopsida; Rosales; Rosaceae. The record is from RNAcentral.
AACCUCUCACUCCCCCCAUGAGAUCUCUUUCUCCCUCACUCCUUCUCAUUUUCUAAAAAAAUGUGUUCAUACACACAAAGUGUGUAAGCAAAUAAUAGUAUAAAUUAAUAUUACAAAUUUUGUGUAUGUUCAAGUAAGAAGUUUAUAGACUUUGAGUGUUUGAGUCUUUGUUUAUAGAAUUUUGUUAACCAAAUCAGUUGCAUAUGCAGAAAAUAUGUUGUAAAAUUACAAUACCAAUAAUAUGCUAGGUGAAAUGUAACACCCCAACCCCCAAUUAUAUAUAUAAUUUCAUUAUUCCCCAAAACUUUUAUAAUUUAUCAAUUUAGUCCCGUUGUUUU